ACCUUUGCAUUUCCUUUAUGCAAUAGACAUGAGUAAGAGAGUUUUAGAAUUCUUUUCUAUUCCUGUACAGAUUAUGUACGCUUUGAUUAUCAACAUGUUAGCUCAGAUAUAUAUUUUGUUCAUUGAUUUCUAAAUGGUUAUACAAGUGUCCCCACUUGGAUAAUCAUGGCAUUUAUUCACAUGUUGAUACACUUUUUCAAUUACCCGUAUACAUAUAUGUUGAAUUACAUAUUAUUGUUGAGCAAGAUUAAAAACCUUCGGGUUUGGAACCAGGCAUGUAUGAACAUCCCUAUAUGGGAAAAUUUUUGCGCCCGAGGCGGACAGAAUAAAAUGAUGAAUUUCGUUCAGAGUUAUGUAGUAUUGAUCAAUAAAGGGUACAACGGGGCUGAUCACCCUCCGUACCCGUGAGCUAGAACAGCUUACAGAUGGAUUUCUGCCAAACCUUUUCGAAAAUGAAAAACAAUGUUCAUAAUAUGUUUCUUAAACCCUAUUCAUGUGUAGAGCCAGAGCCAAAUUUAAAUAAUUUGGAAGAGAAUUAUUAUGUGAAUUUUUUACGUACAGAUUACUUCACAACUUUCUCGAUUCGUUGUAGAAGUGUUAUAUAAAGAGAAUACUUAUAUUCCUUCAGCUUAUAUAUAUAUAAUUUCUAUCACUUGCUGGGCACUCAAAUGUUCAUCCUUGCUUAAAUUAAAUAUUUUCAGUUACGUAUGAGCAACCUGAAGGUUCUGGCACGCAUAAAGGGAAAGAAAAGUUGUUCGAAUGAGAAUUAGUAUGAGUUAAUGGUUAUAGUUAGUAAGACAAUGGAAUCUAUUGUCAGGUAUUGUAAGGAAUGUAUUUUGAAGCUCACGUACCUGGGGAAGUAAACUUUGAUGUAUGUAAAUUAAGUUCGAAUUAUAUUAUCAUUUAGUAUUAUUCAGCUUAAAGAAAUGGUAUCGUGGAGAACCGAGUUCGGGUUGCAAGUACCCGGAUUUGGGGUCGCCACAGGUUAUGCGUGUAAUGUUAAUGUGUGGAACAGUUUUAUUGUAUUACGACUAAACCCUAAUAAUAUUUUUAUAAUCCCUAAUACUAGUCUGAUAAACCCUAAUUCUGGUGCUGGAUUAAGGAAUAAUGAUAAUAAUAAUAUAAUACUAAUUAUAUUUUGAUUUUUCAGUGCUAUAAAUAUAUACUGUAUAUGCGUGGACUUAUAGUAUUGGUUAAAAUAUUGCGUAAAAUGCCAAAACCCUAGUUUAAGCUGUUAAACCCUAAGUUAAAGCCGAAUGCCGGCUUAAGACUAUUAUAUAAUCAGGUUAAUGUGAUUUAUGAUUGGUGUUAUAUGUAUUAAACCUAAUUAGGGAGAAUCGUAAUUAUUCAAAAUCCUUAUUAUUUUUCUAUAUUAUAAACCCUAAACUCUAAAUUAGUAACCUUAUUUUGUAAUUAUAAACCCUAAUUAUAUUUGAAUUUUUAUUAAACCCUAAUUUGUAAACUUAGACCGGAGGUUUGAUCUGUCAAGAAUUGUGUUACUCUGAUUAAUAACACGUGUGAUAGACUUUAAUUGCUAAUUAAAAUAAACUUAAUUAGUAAAUUAAAACCCUAAAACCUAGAACCCUAAUUUAAUUUCUAGAAACCCUAAUUGUAUUAUGGAAACCCUAAUUUUUGGUAUUAUAAACCUUAACUGUUAUAAUUGGCAAGGUUAAUUUUGAUUAGUGGUAUUAAUACCCUAAUGUCCCUGUAUGAUAAUUAAAAACUUAAUUUAAUUAACAAGUUAUUUUUUUUCAAAAUUUUAAAAACUAAAUUUUUUUUAUUUCAUUUCUAAACCCUAGUUGCUAAAAUUAAUUUAUGCUAUGUGCUAAACCUUAGGGUUGAACCCUAAGGAUUAAACCCUAAGGGUUUGUCAAGAUGACAAUUUUGCCAUUAAAUGGAAUUAUCAAAAGACUAUUUUUCCCCUAGUGCAUUAUUUGAGCUAACUUGUAAGUUUGGCCAAUACUUUAGUUGCUCAACAACUCCCAACAACUCCACAUGCACGAUUUUGCCAGCAAUCAGCCUCUAGAAUGACCAAUACAUGCAUCUAAAUUGUUUAUAUAUAGAUUAGAGAGAGAAUUAUUUCAUUUUGUUCACUAACAUUUGUCCAAUACUCAACCAAUCCUCUCUCUCACUAAAAACUCCAAAAAUAUCAAGCAAAUCAGUCCCAAAAUCCAGCCCCACAUUUAUCAUAACAACAUCAAUAGCCAAAAAUCAGAAAUCAAACCAAGAAAGGUAUAAAACCCUACCUUGAAUUUCUGUCCAAAAGUUGUUGUUAGAUCUUGUGAAUUGAUGUUGUAAUAUGUUGUUUGUAGUCUAAAUUAAUGAUCUGGGUUGGUAUACUGUAAGUCCAUAACAUCUAAAUACUCAAAUCAAUGAUUUUCAAAAAUCUGGAAAAUGUAUUUCUGUUGUCUGACAUCAAAUGUCAGGGACUGUAGAUCGUUGUGUGUUUAUUGUUUUUGUUGUUUAAGUGUUUACAUUUGUAGCCUUGUAUGAGAUCUUUAAUCUGAAAGUGGAUUCACUGUCAUUGGAUGUCUAGAUCAAAAGAUAUUGAUGGUCAAAGGUCGUUGACCGACCAUGACCGGGAAGAAAUCUGGGUAAACCCAGAAAAUUUUUAGCGUCUGACAGCAUGUUGAACGACUUUGAUCUGACUGAUUUAAUGAUUGUUUGAUAUUGUUAUUGUAUUAAAGUUGUAGCCUGUUAUCUGGACUAUAACUAAGUGCCUCUAGAUAUCUUAAUUCUUCAAUAAAUCGAACGUAGCAUGUGGUCAAACCUAGUCCCUCGAUCACGAAUUCUGUUUCUGGGAAAUUUCCAGAAAAUUGUUGGUCUUAUUUCUGACAGGGUUUGACCGAGUUAGAUCUUGUAAAUCUGUUAAUGUUAAACUUAUCUGUUGAUGUGGUGUUGUUCCUUGACACGAGUACUACAGAUUUAAACCUUCAAAUUGCAUGAACCAUGAUCAGAACUACUAUUAAUUUGAGCAUGAAAGUGCUCAGUCGACACCUGGGUUUCUGGGAAAACCCAAAAAUCGUCUAACAGCUACUUUGCUGGCAUAGAUCAACUUGUUAUGUUGUUGUUUGAUCAUAUUAAGUUAUGAAACUUGUAUAGUUACAUCAAACCUACAAUAAUUAGGUUUUAUAUUGGACAGAAACGAUCUAUAAAUGAAAUUAUAGCCGGUCAAACGUGACCCCUAAACCACUGAGCUAUCAGUGUUCUUGAGGCUCAAGAACACCAAUAGCGACGCUUUUUGUCGCUAAAGACCUACAGCGACAGUUCUUUUGGCUAGACUUGACAUAUUGAGUGGAUUGUUGAUAAUCUAUUCAUCUGUUAUCAAAUGUGAUUAUCUUUUGUUAACUACUUGAUAUGGUUUUCAAAAGAAUACUGAAAUGUUAAACAAAAGUUGUGUCGGUAAAACAACAGGCACGUGAGGUUGCCAAAUGAUUAAACGUACAUACGUUUAAUGGAUGUAGUGUUGAUCAACAUAGAGUAUAAUAGGCUGAUCACCUAGAAGUGCUCGUAAGUAAUACUGGGCUUAUGGACUUAGUUCCGGGUUGUCCUUUUCAAAGAAAGAAUGAAUACUCGAGGUCUUUGACCGAAGUGAAUGUUUUACUAAAUAUUAUUCAUUGUGAAACAUUUUGAAAGAAAGAUGAAGUGCUAUUUUGAAUUAUCAAUAGUACUUCAUAACUAUUGUUCAGUUAUCGAAGAUAUACGAUUCAUAUGUAUCAAGCAUGUUGUUAUUGAAAUUGUUAUACUUGUUGAUCUAGUUAUGCUCACUCUUGCUUGAACCAUAUGAAUGCAGCUAAGACUGAACGUCCCGAAGGAUCGAAAAAGGAUAAAGGAAAAGCUAAGGAAGAUUAUUAAGCUGUCUUGUAAUGGUAUAGGUCUAUUGUUGUAAUGUAAUGAAUAUUAUCGUCCAAUCAUGUGAAUUUCGGCAAAACUACAUUCUUAAUGAUUCUAAAUGGAUUUCAACCAACAUAUGAUCAUUACAAGUUACUUACUACACCAACUUAUAAUCAAAGUAGGUUUUGACUUAUUCUCAUAAGUCAAUGACUUAAUUGACUUAUUAACUACAAAUCCUUAUGCUUAUGACUUACUAUAACAUUAGUCCAUCAAUCAAUGUUCUCAUGCUAUAUUCAAUACACUAACAUCAUAUGACAAACAUAUGAUAAGUUCUUUAUGAUUCUAACAACUUAUUAAAGUUCAAGUUGUUAAUUCAACUUAUUCGGCUUAAGUUCAUUCCUUAAUAACUUAUUACAUGUUCUUAACAAACGAUCUCCCUUCUAUCAAUCCUAUCAUAAAAGAGAUGUAGAUAAAAGAUACGAGUCUUACCCUUGAAGACUAUUACUUUACUUCACUUUGGAAAAUCUAGCAAAGGUUGAAGUGGCUUAUAAGUGCUUAAGUGGCUUAUUCUCUCUAACAAUUAAGUUGCUUAUCUUUGAGAGGAGUUGGGAGAAAUUGAAUAACCAACAAUUGAAGUGAGACUCUCUAUUUAUAGGUAACCAAAAGCUAGGGCAUUAUAGUCAAUUGGACAUUCCACCUCCUUUAAUCACCUCCUUAAUACACCUCAUUACUAUUCAAUGCUUAUCAACCAAGUCUACUUGCUAGCCACUUCUAUUACUUGAUCACUACAACACUUGGUCACCACACAUAAUGUUUGCCCAUCAAGUCUACCCAUUUCUCACUUGGUUUGCUCCAUGGAUCAUGGCUUCUCAUUGGGCUUGUUAAUUAAAUCUAACUACUUCCUUAUUGGGCUUAUGCUACCAUAGUUUGGACUCAAGAUCUAUCAAACACUUGGGCUUGAUUGUCACCUUCUAUUGGACUUCUCUUAUUAGACUAAUAAUCUUACAAGUCCAUUACCUUAGAUUUAACAACUUAACAUUUAUACCCCAUGUAUAAUCCUCAUAUGUAGCUCGUAUAUUAAUUCGUAAUAUAUGUUAUCUCAUUCUUCAUACAUAAUAGUACAAUACAUCGUAUUAUACUUACAUUCAUUACCUUCAUAUAAUGAAUACACAUUAUACGAUCACAACUUUCUUCCUUUAACGCUUAAUAAACCUAACAUUCCCAAAUUAAGUCCGCAUGCGAAAUAUUACAUUUUUCAUACUUAGAUUAUUAUUACAUAAUCCAUAUCACCUUGAUAAUAUAACAUUACGUAUUUAUCAGAAGUUCAAAAAUAAUUUUCGAGCAGAAAUCUAUGAAUAGUGUUUUUUCAGAAAAUUCCUCGGAAAGCUUUUAUUUUCGUCUUAGAAAUUCAAACACUUUAAUUCUCCCACUUAGUUAAAAUACUACGACAUUCCAACGUUUCUAGGUUAUAGAACGACAUUUGUCUUAUCCAUACGUAGUAAUAAUAAAUAAUACUAUUUUAUUCAUUAUUAUAAGUAUUUACAAAGGUUCGAUUUUCUGGGGCAUUACACAAAAAGCCCAGAAAAAAAUAUUAUGACUAAAGAUAAUCAAAUUAUUAAUAUCAUUUAUCAGUAAUAUAUCAGAUAUUUCAAAUAUAUGGUAGAUGAUAAAAGUGUUCAACCAUAAUUGCAGCGGAAUAAAAAAUCCAUUAGAAGAGUCAAGUAAAACAUAAUGUCAACUAUCUCCUCAAAAUUAAAAGUCCAUCAUUAAUAUUUCAUUCAUGUAAUACCCAUCAACAGUUCUUUGUUGUACCCAAGACAGAGAACUUUCAUCACAUGUCUUCACCUGAACCACCAAAGAGUAUAGUUUAAUUCACAAUUCAUGUUUAUAAUCAUGUAAAUUAAUAGUUUCUCCUUGCCACAAAGGCUUAAUAGAACAUUCACUCAAUAUCCUUGCGCGAAGGCUAAAGACACUCAAUAAUCAUAUCGUCUUUACACCUUACACCAAAGACAUUUAAAUGUAACAAUAAUUAUCAUGAUCAUACCAAUCAAUUGUCUAUCUUUGUACUACGAACCAGAGAUAUUCAACUGUAAUAUCAAUGGUCAUAAUCAUACCAUUCAAUUAUUUAUCUUUGCACUACGGUCCAAAGAUGUUCAACAGUAAAAUCAAUAAUCAACAGUCCAUCUUUGCAUUAUGGGCCUAAGACAUACAACUGUAAAACCAAUAAUCAACAGUCCAUUAUUACACUAUAGACCAAAGACAUACAACUGUAAGACUAAUAAUCAACAGUUCGUCUUUGCAAUACGGGCCAAAGACAUACAACUGCAAUACCAAUGUUCAUGAUUAUACCAAUAUACAAUUUCGGUCAUGAUUAUAUCAAUACACAAUUCCUGGUCAUAAUCAUACCAAUCAACAGUUCAUCUUUUCACUAAGGGCCAAAGAUAACUUUCCAACACAAAUUUAUUUCUGAGGAUUAUAACAAUGAUAUAAAGAAUGAAUCAAGUGAGAUUAAAGAUAUAUAUUAGAGAUUUAUAAUUCAAUUUAUCCAGAAUUCAAGAAUGUCAAAAUUGUCAACAUGAAGAUCAAAACAUGGAUUCAAUUUCAAGAAUAAGAUUCAUAAAAGAUAACUUGGACAAAGAAAAGAAAAUUAAAUUCCACUUUGAAUAGUACUCAUGAAUAGUGCCAUAUGAAUAGUACCCAUGAAUAGUAUAGUAUGAAUAAUACCCUGACAUAAAUAGUAACCUGAAUGAAUAGAACCCUAUCAUGCAAAGUACCCCUGUAACGACUGAGAAAAUCGGAUUAUAAUGUAAAUUAAAUUUAUUUGAUUAUACUGAAUAAAAUUAUAUAAUAUGUUUAUUAUAACGAGUAAGCUAGUUGAAAGUCAUUCUAUAACCUAGAAGGGAUGUAUGAUUGUAGUAUUUUGGCUACGUGCUAGAGAUAAAGUGUGUGAAUUUCCAAGAUGAAAAUAAAAGCUUUCCGAAAAAUUCUCCAAAAACCACUAUUCAUCCAUUUUUCCUCGGGAAUUAGUUUUGAAUUUUUGGGAAAUACGUUAUGAUAAAAUUUUGAAGAAAGAUGGAUUAUAUAAUAAUAAUUCAGUUAUGGCAAACACAGUUUUUCGACUGCGUACUCAAUUUGAGAAUGUUAGGGAAUGUGAAGAUUUGAAUAAGUAAUGAUGAUGUAUAAUAAUAAAGUUAUUAUGCGGGGAAAGAAUACUAGUAUAAUACAAGGUAUUGUAUAAGUAUAUACAAAAAAUAAUACGGCGUAUAAUAUGAAUAUUAUAGGAAAUAUUAUAUGAGAAGAAUACAGAAUUAUACGCUAGAAGUACAAACCAUUCUUAAUGGACUAGUAACGAUUGCCUUUGAACUUUGGCAAGCCCAAAUGAAAGAUGAUUGAGGCCCAAUAACAAAAUUAAUUAAGGCCCAAAGAUAAUUUAAUUCAAGCCCAAAGUUAGGCCCGAAUUGAAUUAAACUUAAGCCCGAACCAAGAACUGAACCCAUGGAUCGAACCGUUGGAUCACCGGGUUAGUAACAACCACUAGGGCAACCCAUGGGAGGGCCCCACACCCCAUGUGGUAGUCCAUAAUGUCCAUGUGGUGGUCAAGCUUCUUUGAGAAGCUUGGUUAAGGAGGUGGAAUAGUAAGGAGGUGGGAUUUUUAACUAUUUUGCCCUCACUUUGCAAUUCUAUAAAUAAAAAGCUUAGGUUUUCAUUUGUUGGUUGUUCAACAACUUAAGCAAUAUAUUGAGAGAGAGAAGAGAAAGCUGUAACAAUGAAUUAAAGAGAAAAGAAGCUAGUUAAGCUUUUAUCAAGAAAAAAACUCAAGAACACGAAGAAUGCGAGAGGUAUAAACACUUAAAUCAUUUAUUUUCCUUCUCUUUUCUAUUUUGAUUUAGUAGAGAAAUGAAAUUGGUGGUAUAUGUAUCAUAAGGAGUAAUAAGGAUGGCUAUUAGUGGACUUUAAAAAUUAAUAACCAUGUAUCAAGUGAAAUCAUAAUCAAAUGAUUAAGAACAUAAUGAAGAGAAUAAGAAAACUUAAUACAUGUUGUUGUUGAUGGACAAGUUUAAAACCAUCGUGUAUAGGAUUUGAUGUUAUAUGCUUGAUUUUGAUUGUAGAUGGUUAAAUAAUGGAAUGAAUCCAUUUGCAACGGAGUAAAAAAUCUCAUAUAACAAAAUUAUGGCGAAAUUUCUAAAAAAAGGCGUUAAUAGUUGAAAUCAUAGUUAACUAGGAUUUUUGAAUGAAAAUAAAGUGUUAAUAAUGAAUGUAGAAAGCUAGGGUUUCAUGAAUGUAUUGAAGACCAUGAAAUUUAUGAGUCAUAAACUCAAGAACUGAUGAAUUCAGACAUCAUAUGAAUGAAUUACGGAUGAACGAGCGAUGAAUGCUCAAAAACGUUAAAACUAACGAAUAAUGGAAAUUUAGUCAAAUGGAAGCCUCAUUAACAAAUUCAAAAAAUUGUUCUGUCCAAGGGAAAUCGUAGGAUGAAGAAUAAACAAGAAAUAGGCUUUUGAACAAAAUAAUUCAAAGCUAUAACGAAUAAGUUACGAGCUCGGAAAACGAACAACUUGAGAAAUUGAAAAAAAAUUCAAAGGUAUAAAGGAGGCAUCGCAGCGCCGCCCAAUGAAGGAUUUGGGGAACCAAAGCCCCAGCACCGGAUCCCAGCUACUGUAAAUAUAUGCUGCAGCGUAGCAUUUAACAAAGAACACGGCGCCGCAGUGCCAGUCCUAGUCCAAAGGCAGAGAAGAAUAGUUAUGAACAU
Molecule: long non-coding RNA, 8584 nt
Filed under: Panax ginseng (ginseng)
Lineage: Eukaryota; Viridiplantae; Streptophyta; Magnoliopsida; Apiales; Araliaceae
Description: long non-coding RNA (PGIN_LNC010606)
Source: RNAcentral